CAAAAGCUUUGGUCCUGACUUUUAUAAUCAGAAAAUACAGCCGGUUGGAUAGGCCUCAUCCCCGCCUGGGAUAAGGAGCUGGCAUCAGGCACAUAUGAUAUAGCCCAAGACGCCUAGUUAUAGCCACACCCCUAAGGGAACUCAGCAGUGAUAAAUAUUAAGCCAUAAGUGAAAGCUUGACUUAAUUAAAGUUAUUUAGGGCCGGUAAAACUCGUGCCAGCCACCGCGGUUAUACGAGAGACCCUAGUUGAUAGAAAACGGCGUAAAGAGUGGUUAGAGAGAUAAUAAAUCAAAUAAAGUCAAACAUUAUCAUGGCCGUUAAAAGCACUCUGAAAAUAUGAAGCCCUACCACGAAAGUGACUUUAUUUUCCUCGAUCCCACGAAAGCUAAGAAACAAACUGAGAUUAGAUACCCCACUAUGCUUAGCCUUAAACUUAGAUGUUAACAAUACAAGUAACAUCCGCCAGGGUACUACGAGCGCUAGCUUAAAACCCAAAGGACUUGACGGUGUCUCAGACCCACCUAGAGGAGCCUGUCCUAGAACCGAUAAUCCACGUUUAACCUCACCACCCUUUGUUCCCCCAGCCUAUAUACCGCCGUCGCAAGCUUACCCUAUGAAGGAUAAACAGUAAGCAAAAUGGAUAACUCAAAACGUCAGGUCGAGGUGUAGCUCACGGGGUGGGAAGAGAUGGGCUACAUUUUCUAUAUCAGAAUACACGGACGACACUAUGAAACUAGUGCCUAAAGGUGGAUUUAGUAGUAAAAAUCAAGCAGAGGGUCAUUUUGAACAAGGCUCUGAGAUGCGUACACACCGCCCGUCACCCUCCCCAAUAACACACUUUAAAAGUAAAUAACCAGACAACUAAAAAUACGGGGAGAUAAGUCGUAACAUGGUAAGUGUACCGGAAGGUGUACUUGGAACAU
Molecule: non-coding RNA, 924 nt
Filed under: Petitella bleheri (rummy-nose tetra)
Lineage: Eukaryota; Metazoa; Chordata; Actinopteri; Characiformes; Acestrorhamphidae
Description: 12S ribosomal RNA
Rfam family: Bacterial small subunit ribosomal RNA
Source: RNAcentral